RNAcentral lists this ribosomal RNA (253 nucleotides) under uncultured bacterium. RNAcentral describes it as "partial 16S ribosomal RNA". It matches the Rfam family "Bacterial small subunit ribosomal RNA", at positions 524 to 776 of the family's 1533-position model. The record is from RNAcentral.
UACGGGGGGGGCAAGCGUUGUUCGGAAUUACUGGGCGUAAAGGGCUCGUAGGCGGCCAACUAAGUCAGACGUGAAAUCCCUCGGCUUAACCGGGGAACUGCAUCUGAUACUGGAUGGCUUGAGAUUGGGAGAGGGAUGCGGAAUUCCAGGUGUAGCGGUGAAAUGCGUAGAGAUCGGGAGGAACAUCUGUGGCGAAGGCGACUGCCUGGACCAGCACUGACACUGAGGCACGAAAGCGUGGGGAGCAAACAGG